CUUGGUAUCCUGAUAAUCUUGCUUGGCAUUCAAAUUUUUCUCGAAUGCAGCUAAGGAAGAACCAAACCCUUGAGAGGUUUCAUGAGUUCUUAAAGCUGGAAAAUGAAAUUGGAAACAUCACAAGACAGGAGGCUGUCAGCAUGGUACCUCCUCUCUUCUUGGACGUAUGUCCAAAUCAUUUUGUACUUGAUAUGUGUGCUGCACCAGGUUCAAAAACAUUUCAGUUGCUGGAGAUUAUAUAUCAAUCAACAAAAGCAGGAUCACUGCCUGAUGGAAUGGUUAUAGCAAAUGACCUUGAUGUCCAAAGAUGUAAUCUUCUGAUCCACCAAACGAAAAGAAUGUGCACUGCUAACUUAAUAGUCACAAAUAAUGAAGCCCAACAUUUCCCUGGUUGCCGCGCAAACAAAAAUUUCCCUAAGGCUUCUGAGAUUGAAUUACGGCCCCCCAUUAGUCAACUUCUUUUUGAUCGCGUCUUGUGUGAUGUUCCUUGCAGUGGAGAUGGCACGCUUCGCAAGGCUCCUGAUCUGUGGAGGAAAUGGAAUUCAGGGAUGGGCAAUGGGCUUCAUAAUCUACAAAUUCAGAUAGCAAUGCGAGGCUUAUCCUUACUUAAAGUUGGUGGAAGAAUGGUUUACUCAACCUGCUCAAUGAAUCCAGUUGAAAAUGAGGCUGUUGUUGCUGAGAUUUUACGGAGGUGUGGAGGGUCUGUUGAGCUAGUUGAUGUCUCCAAAGAGCUUCCUCAACUCGUUCGUCGGCCAGGUCUAAGGAAAUGGAAGGUGCGUGAUAAGGGUAUUUGGUUAUUUUCACACAAAGAUGUCUCCAAAUUCCGAAGAUUUGGGAUUCUUCCCAGUAUGUUUCCUUCUGGAAGAACCUAUGUUGCCCCAACAAAUGGAGAUCAUAAGCAUGAGAAUGGUGCUAAUAUGAAUUCUGAAGAUGAGCUAAUGGAGGAUCCUAUGACUUCAACAGAGGAUUUGAAUGAAGAAGUUUCUGAUCUCCCUCUAGAGCGUUGCAUGAGGAUAGUACCUCAUGAUCAGAACAGUGGGGCCUUUUUCAUCGCUGUCCUCCGCAAACUCUCUCCUUUGCCAGUCAUUCAGGAGAAACCCAGUCGGCGUGGAAAUUUGUUGACUAAAAAAGAUGAACUACAAGAAAAAUUAUCAGAACAGGUUACUGAAUGUAAUAAUGGAGUGGAG
This 1187-nucleotide unclassified non-coding RNA is filed under the name Hevea brasiliensis (rubber tree). The record is from RNAcentral. Lineage: Eukaryota; Viridiplantae; Streptophyta; Magnoliopsida; Malpighiales; Euphorbiaceae.